Molecule: ribosomal RNA, 249 nt
Filed under: uncultured bacterium
Lineage: Bacteria
Description: partial 16S ribosomal RNA
Rfam family: Bacterial small subunit ribosomal RNA
Source: RNAcentral
UACGUAGGGUGCAAGCGUUAAUCGGAAUUACUGGGCGUAAAGCGUGCGCAGGCGGUUUUGUAAGUCUGUCGUGAAAUCCCCGGGCUCAACCUGGGAAUUGCGAUGGAGACUGCAAGGCUAGAAUCUGGCAGAGGGGGUAGAAUUCCACGUGUGAGCAGUGAAAUGCGUAGAGAUGUGGAGGAACACCGAUGGCGAAGGCAGGCCCCCUGGGUCAAGAUUGACGCUCAUGCACGAAAGCGUGGGGAGCAA